RNAcentral lists this ribosomal RNA (330 nucleotides) under uncultured eukaryote. Its description in RNAcentral is "partial 18S ribosomal RNA". It matches the Rfam family "Eukaryotic small subunit ribosomal RNA", at positions 1470 to 1796 of the family's 1831-position model. The record is from RNAcentral.
CCCUUAGAUGUUCUGGGCCGCACGCGCGCUACACUGAUGCAUUCAACGAGUCUAAAACCUGGUCUGAUAGGGCUGGGUAAUCUUUUGAAUGUGCAUCGUGAUUGGGAUAGAUGAUUGCAAUUCUUCAUCUUCAACUAGGAAUGCCUAGUAAACGCAAGUCAUCAGCUUGCAUUGACUACGUCCCUGCCCUUUGUACACACCGCCCGUCGCUCCUACCGAUUGAAUGUUCCGAUGAAUACCAUGGACUGAGAGUAUGAAUGGGUUCGCCUAUUUCUGCUUCUCGGGAAGUGGAGUAAAUCUUAACAUUUAGAGGAAGGAGAAGUCGUAACA